Molecule: ribosomal RNA, 661 nt
Filed under: uncultured Bacteroidales bacterium
Lineage: Bacteria; Pseudomonadati; Bacteroidota; Bacteroidia; Bacteroidales
Description: bacterial SSU rRNA
Rfam family: Bacterial small subunit ribosomal RNA
Source: RNAcentral
GUCUUAGCUUGCUAAGGCCGAUGGCGACCGGCGCACGGGUGAGUAACACGUAUCCAACCUGCCGUCUACUCUUGGACAGCCUUCUGAAAGGAAGAUUAAUACAAGAUGGCAUCAUGAGUCCGCAUGUUCACAUGAUUAAAGGUAUUCCGGUAGACGAUGGGGAUGCGUUCCAUUAGAUAGUAGGCGGGGUAACGGCCCACCUAGUCUUCGAUGGAUAGGGGUUCUGAGAGGAAGGUCCCCCACAUUGGAACUGAGACACGGUCCAAACUCCUACGGGAGGCAGCAGUGAGGAAUAUUGGUCAAUGGGCGAGAGCCUGAACCAGCCAAGUAGCGUGAAGGAUGACUGCCCUAUGGGUUGUAAACUUCUUUUAUAAAGGAAUAAAGUCGGGUAUGGAUACCCGUUUGCAUGUACUUUAUGAAUAAGGAUCGGCUAACUCCGUGCCAGCAGCCGCGGUAAUACGGAGGAUCCGAGCGUUAUCCGGAUUUAUUGGGUUUAAAGGGAGCGUAGAUGGAUGUUUAAGUCAGUUGUGAAAGUUUGCGGCUCAACCGUAAAAUUGCAGUUGAUACUGGAUAUCUUGAGUGCAGUUGAGGCAGGCGGAAUUCGUGGUGUAGCGGUGAAAUGCUUAGAUAUCACGAAGAACUCCGAUUGCGAAGGCAGCCU